Long non-coding RNA from Dalotia coriaria, 517 nucleotides. RefSeq lists it as uncharacterized. The record is from RefSeq and is a predicted model, not a curated record. The transcript has 2 exons. NCBI's taxonomy places the organism in Eukaryota, Metazoa, Arthropoda, Insecta, Coleoptera, Staphylinidae.
UCAGCACGCGGUGACAGAACUGUACCCGUAGUUUCGCCCGAUUUGAAACGUACGGAAUGAACUAUUAUACUUUACCUAUUUGUGCUUAAAUAAGUAGCACGGGAACAUAUUUCAUCGCUCGUAUCGGCAACAAAUAUGAUCACAUGCAACUUCUUACUGAUGAUGUACGGACACAUGUAAAGUGGCAAGAGUUCAAAAGAGCUCAAUGGUUUUUUCCAUGUUUCGCCCUGAUGCUCUGAUGGCAGGAUCACAGGACCUUACUUAUUAUUAAAUGAAAAGAUAUUCACCUAAUGUGAUGCUAAAGAAAUAUUUAUUUCCAAGCUUGAGACGCCUUACAACAAGUAUACAAAUAUAAUAAUACAUGCUUAACCGAAAAGAAAAAACUGAAACUUGAACUUUAAUUGAAGACAAAUUAUAAAUGUACCUAAUAAAAUAUUGAAAAAAGGCCUUGAUUAAAGAAUAUGGUCAAAUAGUCGAAGAGCACACUUGUCGAAAAGGCUGCGCGUUACAAUUGGAA